UACGUAGGGGGCAAGCGUUAUCCGGAAUUACUGGGUGUAAAGGGUGAGUAGGCGGCAUGGUAAGCCAGAUGUGAAAGCCUUGGGCUUAACCCGAGGAUUGCAUUUGGAACUAUCAAGCUAGAGUACAGGAGAGGAAAGCGGAAUUCCUAGUGUAGCGGUGAAAUGCGUAGAUAUUAGGAAGAACACCAGUGGCGAAGGCGGCUUUCUGGACUGAAACUGACGCUGAGGCACGUAAGCGUGGGGAGCGAACAGG
RNAcentral lists this ribosomal RNA (253 nucleotides) under uncultured bacterium. RNAcentral describes it as "partial 16S ribosomal RNA". It matches the Rfam family "Bacterial small subunit ribosomal RNA", at positions 524 to 776 of the family's 1533-position model. The record is from RNAcentral.